GAUGAACGCUCGCGGCAUGCUUAACACAUGCAAGUCGAGCGGCAGCAUAAUGGAUUUCAAUAUCUAUGGUGGCGCGCAGCGCACGGUUGCGUAACGCGAAUGCAACCUACCUUUAACAGUAGGAUAACACUGAUAAAUUGAUACUAAUACCCCAUAAUAUCAUACAAGGCAUCUUUUAUGGUGGAACAUUCCUUUGGUUAGAGAUGGGCAUGCGUUGUAUUAGCUAGUUGGUGGGGUACCGGCUCACCAAGGCGACGAUACCUAGGGGGAGUGAGAGGUUAAGCCCAGAGACUGGGACUGAGAAACGGAGCAGAGUCAUACGGGAGGCAGCAGUGAGGAAGAUUGGUGAAUGGACGAAAGUAUGAAGCAGCGAUGCCGCGUGCAGGAUGACCGCUCUAUGAGUUGUAAACUGCUUUUGUAAGAGGGUAAACGCAGAUACGUGUAUCUGUGUGAAAGUAUUGUACGAAUAAGGACCGGCUAACUACGUG
RNAcentral lists this ribosomal RNA (488 nucleotides) under uncultured bacterium. Its description in RNAcentral is "partial 16S ribosomal RNA". It matches the Rfam family "Bacterial small subunit ribosomal RNA", at positions 28 to 507 of the family's 1533-position model. The record is from RNAcentral.